This 442-nucleotide ribosomal RNA is filed under the name uncultured bacterium. Its description in RNAcentral is "bacterial SSU rRNA". It matches the Rfam family "Bacterial small subunit ribosomal RNA", at positions 775 to 1210 of the family's 1533-position model. The record is from RNAcentral.
AGUCAAUAGAUACCCCGGUAGUCCACGCCGUAAACGAUGAGUACUAGGUGUAGGAGGUAUCGACUCCUUCUGUGCCGCAGUUAAACACAAUAAGUACUCCGCCUGGGAAGUACGGUCGCAAGAUUAAAAACUCAAAGGAAUUGACGGGGGCCCGCACAAGCAGCGGAGCAUGUGGUUUAAUUCGAAGCAACGCGAAGAACCUUACCUAGACUUGACAUCUCCUGAAUAGUGUAGAGAUACAUGUAGCCCUUCGGGGCAGGAAGACAGGUGGUGCAUGGUUGUCGUCAGCUCGUGUCGUGAGAUGUUGGGUUAAGUCCCGCAACGAGCGCAACCCUUAUUACUAGUUGCUACCAUUAACGUUGAGCACUCUAGUGAGACUGCCCGGGGUUAACCGGGUAGGAAGGCGGGGAUGACGUCAAAUCAUCAUGCCCCGUUAUGUCUA